UACGUAGGUGGCAAGCGUUGUCCGGAUUUAUUGGGUUUAAAGGGUGCGUAGGCGGCCGUAUAAGUCAGUGCUGAAAUAUCCCGGCUUAACCGGGAGGGUGGCAUUGAUACUGUAUGGCUUGAGUGCGGGAGAGGGAUGUGGAAUUCCAGGUGUAGCGGUGAAAUGCGUAGAUAUCUGGAGGAACACCGGUGGCGAAGGCGGCAUCCUGGACCGACACUGACGCUGAGGUGCGAAAGCGUGGGGAGCAAACAGG
RNAcentral lists this ribosomal RNA (253 nucleotides) under uncultured bacterium. RNAcentral describes it as "partial 16S ribosomal RNA". It matches the Rfam family "Bacterial small subunit ribosomal RNA", at positions 524 to 776 of the family's 1533-position model. The record is from RNAcentral.